This 254-nucleotide ribosomal RNA is filed under the name uncultured bacterium. RNAcentral describes it as "partial 16S ribosomal RNA". It matches the Rfam family "Bacterial small subunit ribosomal RNA", at positions 524 to 776 of the family's 1533-position model. The record is from RNAcentral.
GACGUAGGGCGCGAGCGUUGUCCGGAUUUAUUGGGCGUAAAGAGCUCGUAGGCGGUGUGUCGCGUCGAUCGUGAAAACUUGGGGCUUAACCCUGAGCUUGCGGUCGAUACGGGCAUCACUGGAGUUCGGCAGGGGAGACUGGAAUUCCUGGUGUAGCGGUGAAAUGCGCAGAUAUCAGGAGGAACACCGGUGGCGAAGGCGGGUCUCUGGGCCGAUACUGACGCUGAGGAGCGAAAGCGUGGGGAGCGAACAGG